GAGUGGAGCUUGCUCCAUGAUUCAGCGGCGGACGGGUGAGUAAUGCCUAGGAAUCUGCCUGGUAGUGGGGGACAACGUUUCGAAAGGAACGCUAAUACCGCAUACGUCCUACGGGAGAAAGUGGGGGAUCUUCGGACCUCACGCUAUCAGAUGAGCCUAGGUCGGAUUAGCUAGUUGGUGAGGUAAAGGCUCACCAAGGCGACGAUCCGUAACUGGUCUGAGAGGAUGAUCAGUCACACUGGAACUGAGACACGGUCCAGACUCCUACGGGAGGCAGCAGUGGGGAAUAUUGGACAAUGGGCGAAAGCCUGAUCCAGCCAUGCCGCGUGUGUGAAGAAGGUCUUCGGAUUGUAAAGCACUUUAAGUUGGGAGGAAGGGCAGUAAGUUAAUACCUUGCUGUUUUGACGUUACCAACAGAAUAAGCACCGGCUAACUUCGUGCCAGCAGCCGCGGUAAUACGAAGGGUGCAAGCGUUAAUCGGAAUUACUGGGCGUAAAGCGCGCGUAGGUGGUUCGUUAAGUUGGAUGUGAAAGCCCCGGGCUCAACCUGGGAACUGCAUCCAAAACUGGCGAGCUAGAGUAUGGCAGAGGGUGGUGGAAUUUCCUGUGUAGCGGUGAAAUGCGUAGAUAUAGGAAGGAACACCAGUGGCGAAGGCGACCACCUGGGCUAAUACUGACACUGAGGUGCGAAAGCGUGNNGAGCAAACAGGAUUAGAUACCCUGGUAGUCCACGCCGUAAACGAUGUCGACUAGCCGUUGGGAUCCUUGAGAUCUUAGUGGCGCAGCUAACGCAUUAAGUCGACCGCCUGGGGAGUACGGCCGCAAGGUUAAAACUCAAAUGAAUUGACGGGGGCCCGCACA
Molecule: ribosomal RNA, 860 nt
Filed under: Stutzerimonas stutzeri
Lineage: Bacteria; Pseudomonadati; Pseudomonadota; Gammaproteobacteria; Pseudomonadales; Pseudomonadaceae
Description: bacterial SSU rRNA
Rfam family: Bacterial small subunit ribosomal RNA
Source: RNAcentral